RNAcentral lists this ribosomal RNA (229 nucleotides) under uncultured bacterium. RNAcentral's name for it is "partial 16S ribosomal RNA". It matches the Rfam family "Bacterial small subunit ribosomal RNA", at positions 111 to 334 of the family's 1533-position model. The record is from RNAcentral.
UAACACGUGGGUAACCUACCCUGAUGAUUGGGACAACCCGAGGAAACUCGGGCUAAUACCAAAUGUGCCCUCUGACCUCAAGGUCUGCGGGGAAAGGAAGCUUCGGCCUCCGCAUCGGGAUGGGCCCGCGGCCCAUUAGCUUGUUGGUGAGGUAAAAGCUCACCAAGGCGACGAUGGGUAGCUGGUCUGAGAGGACGAUCAGCCACACUGGGACUGAGACACGGCCCAG